GAAAACUGAGAAAUCAGUUUUGAUCGGCCUAUAGAAGUCAGCAGAAGGCAUAGUAGGUAGGUUUCGUGCUACUGAAGGCC
This 80-nucleotide non-coding RNA is filed under the name Microbulbifer sp. THAF38. Lineage: Bacteria; Pseudomonadati; Pseudomonadota; Gammaproteobacteria; Cellvibrionales; Microbulbiferaceae. The record is from RNAcentral.